Molecule: ribosomal RNA, 476 nt
Filed under: Fusarium thapsinum
Lineage: Eukaryota; Fungi; Ascomycota; Sordariomycetes; Hypocreales; Nectriaceae
Description: eukaryotic LSU rRNA
Rfam family: 5.8S ribosomal RNA (bases 117-270)
Source: RNAcentral
UACCAAUUGUUGCCUCGGCGGAUCAGCCCGCUCCCGGUAAAACGGGACGGCCCGCCAGAGGACCCCUAAACUCUGUUUCUAUAUGUAACUUCUGAGUAAAACCAUAAAUAAAUCAAAACUUUCAACAACGGAUCUCUUGGUUCUGGCAUCGAUGAAGAACGCAGCAAAAUGCGAUAAGUAAUGUGAAUUGCAGAAUUCAGUGAAUCAUCGAAUCUUUGAACGCACAUUGCGCCCGCCAGUAUUCUGGCGGGCAUGCCUGUUCGAGCGUCAUUUCAACCCUCAAGCCCCCGGGUUUGGUGUUGGGGAUCGGCGAGCCUCACGGCAAGCCGGCCCCGAAAUACAGUGGCGGUCUCGCUGCAGCUUCCAUUGCGUAGUAGUAAAACCCUCGCAACUGGUACGCGGCGCGGCCAAGCCGUUAAACCCCCAACUUCUGAAUGUUGACCUCGGAUCAGGUAGGAAUACCCGCUGAACUUAAG